RNAcentral lists this ribosomal RNA (450 nucleotides) under Escherichia coli. RNAcentral's name for it is "partial 23S ribosomal RNA". It matches the Rfam family "Bacterial large subunit ribosomal RNA", at positions 1116 to 1569 of the family's 2925-position model. Lineage: Bacteria; Pseudomonadati; Pseudomonadota; Gammaproteobacteria; Enterobacterales; Enterobacteriaceae. The record is from RNAcentral.
CCAUCAUUUAAAGAAAGCGUAAUAGCUCACUGGUCGAGUCGGCCUGCGCGGAAGAUGUAACGGGGCUAAACCAUGCACCGAAGCUGCGGCAGCGACACUAUGUGUUGUUGGGUAGGGGAGCGUUCUGUAAGCCUGUGAAGGUGGCCUGUGAGGGUUGCUGGAGGUAUCAGAAGUGCGAAUGCUGACAUAAGUAACGAUAAAGCGGGUGAAAAGCCCGCUCGCCGGAAGACCAAGGGUUCCUGUCCAACGUUAAUCGGGGCAGGGUGAGUCGACCCCUAAGGCGAGGCCGAAAGGCGUAGUCGAUGGGAAACAGGUUAAUAUUCCUGUACUUGGUGUUACUGCGAAGGGGGGACGGAGAAGGCUAUGUUGGCCGGGCGACGGUUGUCCCGGUUUAAGCGUGUAGGCUGGUUUUCCAGGCAAAUCCGGAAAACCAAGGCUGAGGCGUGAUGA